Molecule: ribosomal RNA, 276 nt
Filed under: uncultured prokaryote
Description: partial 16S ribosomal RNA
Rfam family: Bacterial small subunit ribosomal RNA
Source: RNAcentral
CUAAGAAUAUUCCGCAAUGGACGAAAGUCUGACGGAGCGACGCCGCGUGGAUGAAGAAGGCCGAAAGGUUGUAAAAUCCUUUUGCUGAGGAAGAAUAAGUGUGGGAGGGAAUGCCCGCAUGAUGACAUGAAUCGGCGAAUAAGCCCCGGCCAACUACGUGCCAGCAGCCGCGGUAACACGUAGGGGGCGAGCGGUGUUCGGAAUUACUGGGCGUAAAGGGCAUGUAGGCGGUUAUGUAAGCCUGGCGUGAAAGUCCACAGCUUAACUGGGGUAUUG